AAAAAAAAUUUAGAAAGUCGUGGUUUUAUAUGAAAGUACCUACAAGGGAAAUCUUUAGUGUCUUGUAUAUCAACGAGCCGUAAUGGUGUGUGAGGAGCGGUGAGGCUUAUCUUUUGAUUUUAACAGCGCAUACAGCGACCAUGUGUGCAGCUGGCCCCCUCGUUAUAUUUGGGAUUGGACGAAACCAGUACGAGUUCUCUUCGGCGACGCCAUUGCGAGUAAACAGCUCAAUCCAACGUCUGCUUGCUUCGAUAAACAAAAGACUCGAGUUUAACCAAAUUGGCUCGGAGCAAAGUAAUUAGGAAGAUCAGCAGUCAGAAAAGUGACGUCAGCGACUUGGGUGGUCGUUUUCAACGGAUACGUGAGUUGCUCGAGGAACAAAUUGCAAGUAUUAAACGGUGGAAGAGCUUUUACAAUCUCGGGGUACCUUCUGAUAUGGAAUCGGACAAAUACUCCAGAGAAGUAACCAGAGCCUGCGACAACAAUUUCAAUUAUUUUUCGUCGUAAAAUAGGCUGCAAUUACAGAAAGCGAAAAAAGAAGACGAUUUAUUCGGAAAAAAUCUUUGCAGUAAUGACCUCCCGCACCUGCACUGUGGAAAUUGGACGACGACAAGGAGGAAAUUAACCGGAGCUCGAACCUGCUGCAAUUUAAUUAAGAAGAGGGAAACUGUUUUGCAUUUCAAUGGACGAGCGUUCGGUGUAUUGUCUGCUGAAUAUAUUUCAGAGCAAAAGGAUAACUCGGGUUGUGUGGCUACGUGGAUGGGAAAUUUAAAGGAAAUGGACGCUGAAUUAUAAUAACGUAGAGAAAUGGAGGAGAGGAACUCUUUAUUUACAUAAAUUGGGAGAAUGGGACGACGGUUCCGGGGCGGUGGGAGGGACUACCGGGUUUAUCUUCUCGUGAUAAUUGCAUUUACAUCAUUCAGGAAAUGGUCGCAUGACUAAUGUUAAUACAGGGAUAUUUACCCGAAUUAUUGCUUAAAUAAUUAAUGUAAUUAGCAAUAAUGUUAAAACAUUAUUUUUAUUGCAGAAAUGUGUUUCUGAAAGUAUACCUAUAAAUAUUACUUAUAACAAAAAAGCAACUAAGAGACUGAAAAGUACAAAUUAGUAUUAAGAUUAACAAAAUUUGAUGAUUUUUGUGUAAAGAAAGAUAAGUAAGAGAUGAGGCUAAUUGAUUCCUUGUACUGCUUAACAUUUAUUUACAGAAUUAUUUAAGACCCUAUUUCAUGCUUUUUUAUGUUUAAUAUUGAAUUGUGUGUUUUUUAGUCAUACUUCUUAUUAAUGGUUUACAAGAAAAAUUGUUAUUUCGAAAAGGAAACAUGAAAAUAUGUGUAAAAAAUGCAAAAACGUGAUUUCCUAGAAAUUUACUUAUCUACAAGGUUUGACAGUGUUUAUUAUUUAAAAAUAGAGUUUUAUUCAAAUAUUAUAUGAAUGUAUUUGAGUCCAAACUGCCCAUAUUUAUUUAAUUAUCAUUAAAAACAAACAGUAUUAUUAAAAAAAUAUAAAUAUUUCAACUUAUUUUUUAAUUUCUAUUCUGCAAAGUUUAAUUAAAUUCAACAUAUUACUUUGAGAAAUAAAACAACAGUAUCAGAAAAAAAGCAGGUUAAGGAAAGUGAAAUAAAUGUUUUAAAUUAUUUAGUUUUAAUUAUAUUUAGUUUACAGAGAUAAUACGUGCCUCCUACGUAACUUUAAGAUUUAGUAUAAAUUUAGUGUCAGAACUUUUAUAAAAAACAUAAUAAUUUUUACGUCUUUAAAUUUAUAAGAAACCUAUACAAUACAAUUUUUAUGGAACAAAACUUCUAGAAAAAUGUGUAUAUUUUUUUAAACGAAUAGUAGGUAAUAAUAGUUUGUUAAAUAGUUAGAUAUUUUUUUAGUGCGUAGAAUUUUGUUAAGAAGUUUUUAUAUUUAUUUAUACUGAUUUAGAGAAUAUAAAUUAAUAAAUAAUUCUCGCGUUUCGACUGCUCAAUUUUCUGAUAAUUAUGUCUGAUAAUUUUUGACGUGAAUUCAAACAGUUAAAUAUAAUUGAUUAGCUGUAUAAUAGGAAACAAAAUCAAUAAAGUCUCGUCUGCAUUGUA
Molecule: long non-coding RNA, 2072 nt
Organism: Tribolium castaneum (red flour beetle)
Lineage: Eukaryota; Metazoa; Arthropoda; Insecta; Coleoptera; Tenebrionidae
Exons: 5
Source: RefSeq, a predicted model, not a curated record